CACCUAUAUUGACAUACCUCCAAG
This 24-nucleotide non-coding RNA is filed under the name Arabidopsis thaliana (thale cress). Lineage: Eukaryota; Viridiplantae; Streptophyta; Magnoliopsida; Brassicales; Brassicaceae. The record is from RNAcentral.